This 404-nucleotide ribosomal RNA is filed under the name uncultured bacterium. RNAcentral's name for it is "bacterial SSU rRNA". It matches the Rfam family "Bacterial small subunit ribosomal RNA", at positions 355 to 775 of the family's 1533-position model. The record is from RNAcentral.
UAAGGGAUUUUCGGCAAUGGGGGCAACCCUGACCGAGCAACGCCGCGUGCGGGAAGACGGCCUUCGGGUUGUAAACCGCUUUUCCGGGGGACGAGAACGGACGGUACCUCGGGAAGAAGCCCCGGCUAACUACGUGCCAGCAGCCGCGGUAAUACGUAGGGGGCGAGCGUUGUCCGGAGUUAUUGGGCGUAAAGCGCGUGCAGGCGGCCUGGAAGGUGUGGUGUGAAAGCUCCCGGCUUAACUGGGAGACGGCGCUGCAGACUGCCAGGCUCGAGGGCUGGAGAGGGAGAUGGAAUUCCGGGUGUAGCGGUGGAAUGCGUAGAUAUCCGGAGGAACACCAGUGGCGAAAGCGGUCUCCUGGACAGCCCCUGACGCUCAAGCGCGAAAGCGAGGGGAGCGAACGG